Non-coding RNA from Homo sapiens (human), 117 nucleotides. It matches the Rfam family "Metazoan signal recognition particle RNA". From Rfam's summary of the family: The signal recognition particle (SRP) is a universally conserved ribonucleoprotein. It is involved in the co-translational targeting of proteins to membranes. The record is from Rfam. NCBI's taxonomy places the organism in Eukaryota, Metazoa, Chordata, Mammalia, Primates, Hominidae.
GCCGGGCGUGGUGGCUCAUGCCUGUAAUCCCAGCACUUUGGGAGGCCGAGGUGGGAGGAUUGCUUGAGUCCAGGAAUUUGAGACCAGCCUGGACAACACAGUGAGACCUCAUCUCUA